UAUUGCACAAUGGGGGAAACCCUGAUGCAGCAACGCCGCGUGAGUGAAGAAGUAUUUCGGUAUGUAAAGCUCUAUCAGCAGGGAAGAAGAAAGACGGUACCUGACUAAUAAGCCCCGGCUAACUACGUGCCAGCAGCCGCGGUAAUACGUAGGGGGCAAGCGUUAUCCGGAUUUACUGGGUGUAAAGGGAGCGUAGACGGCAUAGCAAGUCUGAAGUGAAAGCCCGCGGCUUAACCGCGGGACUGCUUUGGAAACUUUUUUGCUGGAGUACCGGAGAGGUAAGCGGAAUUCCUAGUGUAGCGGUGAAAUGCGUAGAUAUUAGGAGGAACACCAGUGGCGAAGGCGGCUUACUGGACGGUAACUGACGUUGAGGCUCGAAAGCGUGGGGAGCAAACAGG
RNAcentral lists this ribosomal RNA (398 nucleotides) under uncultured bacterium. Its description in RNAcentral is "bacterial SSU rRNA". It matches the Rfam family "Bacterial small subunit ribosomal RNA", at positions 362 to 776 of the family's 1533-position model. The record is from RNAcentral.